This 987-nucleotide ribosomal RNA is filed under the name Eimeria brunetti. Its description in RNAcentral is "partial 23S large subunit ribosomal RNA". It matches the Rfam family "Bacterial large subunit ribosomal RNA", at positions 1348 to 2450 of the family's 2925-position model. The record is from RNAcentral. Lineage: Eukaryota; Apicomplexa; Conoidasida; Eucoccidiorida; Eimeriidae.
AGGUUUUCUAUGAAAGGAUAUACCACGUAGGUAAAGUCGGGGGCUAAGACUAGAUUUAAUAUGUAGUCGAUGAAUAAAAGGGUUAAAUUUCCUUUACCAUAAUAUAUAAUUUAAACAAAUAGUGACCUAUAAUUUUUUAUAUAUUUAAAUAUAUAGUUUAUAAUAUACUAAAGAAAUAUAGCUAGAAAAAUGUAUAUGUUAUAUAUAUAUUAUGCCUGUACCAAAACUGACACAAGUAAGCAAGUAUAACUAUACUAAGGAGUACGAAAUAACUUUCUCUAAGGAACUCGGCAAAAUAAUCCUGUAACUUCGGGAGAAAGGAUGCCCAAAGGGCUGCAAUGAAAAGAUCCAAGCGACUGUUUAUCAAAAACACAAGUCUCCGCUAAAUUUGAUUAUAAUGUAAGGGGGCUGACACCUGCCCAGUGCUGGUAAGUUAAAAAAAAUAUUUUUAAUAUAAGUAUUUUUAUAAGCUCCAGUAAACGGCGGCUGUAACUAUAACGGUCCAAAGGUAGCGAAAUUCCUUGUCGGGUAAGUUCCGACCCGCACGAAAGGUGUAACGACUUGGAUGCUGUCUUGGAGAAAGAUUCGGUGAAAUAGGAAUGUCUGUGAAGAUACGGACUAUCUACAUUUGGACAGAAAGACCCUAUGAAGCUUUACUAUAUUUUGAAAUUAAAAAUAAAAUAUAUUUGUGUAGAAUAAGUGGGAAACUAAUUAUUUUGUUUAUCUUGAAAUACCACUCUUAUAUAUUUUAUUUUUUUAUUAUAAUAUUGUUAACCAAUUAUAAAAAAAUUUCAAAAAGAUAGUUUGACUGGGGCGGUAGCCUCCUAAAUAGCAACGGAGGUGUACAAAGGUCUUUUUUUAAUUUAAAAAAUUUUUUAAAUUAAAACUAUAAAGGGGUAAAAGGCUUGAUUGUAAGAGUUACUACUCGAGCAAGGACAAAAGUCGGUCUUAAUGAUCCGAUAGUUCUUAGUGGAAAGGCUAUCGCUU